RNAcentral lists this ribosomal RNA (330 nucleotides) under uncultured bacterium. RNAcentral describes it as "bacterial SSU rRNA". It matches the Rfam family "Bacterial small subunit ribosomal RNA", at positions 570 to 898 of the family's 1533-position model. The record is from RNAcentral.
CGUAGGCGGCUCAUUAAGUCCGAUGUGAAAUCCCGAAGCUCAACUUCGGAACUGCAUUGGAAACUAGUGGGCUUGAGUACAGAAGAGGAGAGUGGAAUUCCUGGUGUAGCGGUGAAAUGCGUAGAUAUCAGGAGGAACACCCGUGGCGAAGGCGGCUCUCUGGUCUGUUACUGACGCUGAGGUGCGAAAGCUAGGGGAGCGAACGGGAUUAGAUACCCCGGUAGUCCUAGCCGUAAACGAUGGUCACUAGGUGUUAGUGGUAUCGACCCCACUAGUGCCGCAGCUAACGCAAUAAGUGACCCGCCUGGGGAGUACGGCCGCAAGGUUGAA